AUCCUACUCCCUCCGUUCAGAAUUACUUGUCAACAAAAUGGAUGUAUCUACAACUAAAAUACAUCUAGAUAUAUUUAUUUCUUGGACGAAUAAUUCCGAACGGAGGGAGUAUAUU
Molecule: non-coding RNA, 115 nt
Organism: Triticum aestivum (bread wheat)
Lineage: Eukaryota; Viridiplantae; Streptophyta; Magnoliopsida; Poales; Poaceae
Source: Rfam